Molecule: small nuclear RNA, 23 nt
Filed under: Arabidopsis thaliana (thale cress)
Lineage: Eukaryota; Viridiplantae; Streptophyta; Magnoliopsida; Brassicales; Brassicaceae
Description: snRNA_00789
Source: RNAcentral
AAAGAAAAAAAUAACCGUCUAUA